GGGACACGUGGUAUCCUGUCUGAAUAUGGGGGGACCAUCCUCCAAGGCUAAAUACUCCUGACUGACCGAUAGUGAACCAGUACCGUGAGGGAAAGGCGAAAAGAACCCCGGCGAGGGGAGUGAAAAAGAACCUGAAACCGUGUACGUACAAGCAGUAGGAGCCCACUUGUUGGGUGACUGCGUACCUUUUGUAUAAUGGGUCAGCGACUUAUAUUCUGUAGCAAGGUUAACCGUAUAGGGGAGCCGCAGGGAAACCGAGUCUUAACUGGGCGUUAAGUUGCAGGGUAUAGACCCGAAACCCGGUGAUCUAGCCAUGGGCAGGUUGAAGGUUGGGUAACACUAACUGGAGGACCGAACCGACUAAUGUUGAAAAAUUAGCGGAUGACUUGUGGCUGGGGGUGAAAGGCCAAUCAAACCGGGAGAUAGCUGGUUCUCCCCGAAAGCUAUUUAGGUAGCGCCUCGUGAACUCAUCUUCGGGGGUAGAGCACUGUUUCGGCUAGGGGGUCAUCCCGACUUACCAACCCGAUGCAAACUACGAAUACCGAAGAAUGUUAUCACGGGAGACACACGGCGGGUGCUAACGUCCGUCGUGAAGAGGGAAACAACCCAGACCGCCAGCUAAGGUCCCAAAGUCAUGGUUAAGUGGGAAACGAUGUGGGAAGGCCCAGACAGCCAGGAUGUUGGCUUAGAAGCAGCCAUCAUUUAAAGAAAGCGUAAUAGCUCACUGGUCGAGUCGGCCUGCGCGGAAGAUGUAACGGGGCUAAACCAUGCACCGAAGCUGCGGCAGCGACACUAUGUGUUGUUGGGUAGGGGAGCG
RNAcentral lists this ribosomal RNA (817 nucleotides) under Klebsiella michiganensis. RNAcentral's name for it is "partial 23S ribosomal RNA". It matches the Rfam family "Bacterial large subunit ribosomal RNA", at positions 419 to 1238 of the family's 2925-position model. The record is from RNAcentral. Lineage: Bacteria; Pseudomonadati; Pseudomonadota; Gammaproteobacteria; Enterobacterales; Enterobacteriaceae.